This 310-nucleotide long non-coding RNA is filed under the name Helianthus annuus (common sunflower). RNAcentral describes it as "Bacterial small subunit ribosomal RNA". It matches the Rfam family "Bacterial small subunit ribosomal RNA", at positions 121 to 391 of the family's 1533-position model. Lineage: Eukaryota; Viridiplantae; Streptophyta; Magnoliopsida; Asterales; Asteraceae. The record is from RNAcentral.
UAUACGGCCCGUAUAGAGUAAGAUAAACUGACAAAGGCUGCGCCCACAGACUUUGUCAGUUUAUCUUAUUCUAUACGGGUCGUAUAACCUUAUACGGCCUGUAUACACCAUGUUAAAAUAAGAUUUUACCAUGUGUUAUUAUUAACACCCUUAAAUAAACAUUUACUUUUAUUAAAAAAAAAAUACGGUGCUUUAUUGAUUAUAGCUAGUCUGAGGAAUGAUCAGCCACACUGGGACUGAGACACGACCCAGCCUCCUACGGGAGGCAGCAGUGGGGAAUUUUUUGGGAUAGGCCGAAAGCCUGACGGAG